UUGUCAAUCCCGUUGCAGUGAGCAGUCAUUUUAGCAAAUAUAUCACUUAGUAAAUUGAAGAUGAUGAAAGCCAAUACAAUAGCUUCAGCGUGCUCUGAAAUAACUAUGCCUAGUAACUGCUCUCCACCUGUAGCUUUCCAUGUUGAAGGGCAGAUUGUGGUUGCAGGCCAUAACCAUAGAUUACAAGUUCCUAUUUCUGAACAAUAAGUGAUACCAACUCAUCUACCAUCCAAUAAAUNUACCAUCCAAUAAAUACAAUGUACUUUGCCAAUCUGUGUGUUGAGAUUAACAAGUGACGCC
This 300-nucleotide unclassified non-coding RNA is filed under the name Hevea brasiliensis (rubber tree). The record is from RNAcentral. Lineage: Eukaryota; Viridiplantae; Streptophyta; Magnoliopsida; Malpighiales; Euphorbiaceae.